GUGUGAAUGCUUCAUUCGCCUCACAAACAACCACAGAACCACAAGUGCGGUGCAAACUUUCUCCAGGAGGACAGCAAGAAGUCUCUGGUUUUUAAAUGGUUAAUCUCCGCAGGUCACUACCAGCCACCGAGACCAACAGAGUCAUUUAAGGCUGCAAGCAGUAUUUACAACAGAGUGUACAAGUUCUAUCUGGAAAAGAAGGAGGGACUAUGGCAUCAAACAGCCUCUUCAGCACAGUGACACCAUGCCAGCAAAACUUCUUCUGGGGUGGGGAAACUGCAGUCCAGAGGGGUUUCUUGAACUGCCCAAGGACACAGCACUAUUUAGUGAUACAAGCUGAAACCAAAACUGAGGUCCCCCUGAUUCCUGGUCGAGUUCUUUCUACCACACAACAAGGAACACACAAAUAAAAGUUUAUCUUAAUUAAC
This is a long non-coding RNA of Dipodomys ordii (Ord's kangaroo rat), 428 nucleotides long. RefSeq lists it as uncharacterized. The record is from RefSeq and is a predicted model, not a curated record. NCBI's taxonomy places the organism in Eukaryota, Metazoa, Chordata, Mammalia, Rodentia, Heteromyidae. The transcript has 3 exons.